Molecule: microRNA precursor, 61 nt
Filed under: Chrysemys picta bellii (western painted turtle)
Lineage: Eukaryota; Metazoa; Chordata; Testudines; Emydidae
Description: Cpi-Mir-1416_pre stem-loop
Source: RNAcentral
UCCUUAACUCAUGCCGCUGUGCCUUUCACCCCCACUCCCACAAUUGUAUGAGUUGAGUACA